UACAGAGGUCCCAAGCGUUGUUCGGAUUCACUGGGCGUAAAGGGUGCGUAGGUGGUCGGGUAAGUCUGAUGUGAAAUCUCAGAGCUCAACUCUGAAACUGCAUUGGAUACUAUCCGGCUGGAGGGUCGGAGGGGGGACUGGAAUUCUUGGUGUAGCAGUGAAAUGCGUAGAUAUCAAGAGGAACACCAGUGGCGAAGGCGAGUCCCUGGACGACUCCUGACACUGAGGCACGAAAGCUAGGGGAGCAAACAGG
Molecule: ribosomal RNA, 253 nt
Filed under: uncultured bacterium
Lineage: Bacteria
Description: partial 16S ribosomal RNA
Rfam family: Bacterial small subunit ribosomal RNA
Source: RNAcentral